This 814-nucleotide long non-coding RNA is filed under the name Olea europaea (common olive). RNAcentral's name for it is "long non-coding RNA (OEUR_LNC012932)". Lineage: Eukaryota; Viridiplantae; Streptophyta; Magnoliopsida; Lamiales; Oleaceae. The record is from RNAcentral.
AAAAGAAUAAAAUUCAAGAUUUACUGCAAGUUGAAGGAUUACUAAAUAAGCAAUGCAUUUUCUCAAGUUGUAGGAAAGACAAUCCCUCUCACACAUGAUACCAAUCAGUUGUAAAUUGCAAGUUAAGUUAUUCUCUUAACAGGAUUCCCAUGUGCAGUGAGGCCCUUGUGAAGAAUUCUAGCUAGUUGAUUAGCACACUUUUCGGGAGGAUUACAGAGGCAAAAUUUUUCAUUUCAUUGCAUUCACUUCGAAUCAGGGCAGAAACAAAGAAGAAAGAAUCUAAUUAACUCUUCAUAACUUCAAUUAUCUGAGUAAAUUGCAAAUUAAUUAUAACCUACAAAAUGUUAAACUAAUGGCUCAAAUAUUGAAUAAGUUUUAACUGUCGAAGACUUUACACAACUUAUUAUUCAUAAUUUUCAAAACCACAAAUUCAGCGUACCUGAAGGCCUGCGAGAUCAAAUACUGGGUGGAAACUACUGAACACGCUCUAACUCCACCAAUUCCUCUUCGGGCACUACUCAACACAAUGCACAAUAUAAGUAAUUGAAGACCGGAUGGGAUGCGGCCGAAAGUGAAGACAAGUACGGCUACAGUUAACGCGUCCUCGUUGAAGAGGGAAAGCGAAGAUGGGCUUUUGGAGGUCGAUUUGACGGUUCGUCGAUCGUGCGUCCGGCAAUCGUCUUUCACAGCGGCGAUUGUUAGGGUUAGGGCUCCAAUCGCGUUCCCCCCCCCCUCUGUUGUUUAUUUUGUUUCAUUUCUUUCGUUCACUUCCCAUCAUGUUCCUUUUUUACAGCCAAGCUUUUUUGCCUUUUUU